RNAcentral lists this non-coding RNA (94 nucleotides) under uncultured Muricomes sp. Lineage: Bacteria; Bacillati; Bacillota; Clostridia; Lachnospirales; Lachnospiraceae. The record is from RNAcentral.
AAAAAGGGGAGCCUGCGUAAGCAGGCUGAGAGUAAGCUGAUAUUGCUUAGACCCGUAACCUGAUUUGGAUAAUGCCAACGUAGGGAGAUAUGGA